RNAcentral lists this ribosomal RNA (513 nucleotides) under Coleodactylus septentrionalis. RNAcentral's name for it is "partial 16S ribosomal RNA". It matches the Rfam family "Bacterial large subunit ribosomal RNA", at positions 1848 to 2612 of the family's 2925-position model. Lineage: Eukaryota; Metazoa; Chordata; Lepidosauria; Squamata; Sphaerodactylidae. The record is from RNAcentral.
AGAGGUGACGCCUGCCCAGUGAAAACUUUUUAACGGCCGCGGUAUCCUAACCGUGCAAAGGUAGCAUAAUAACUUGUCUCCUAAAUAGAGACUAGCAUGAACGGCUAACUGAGGGCCCAACUGUCUCCUAUGACCAAUCAAUGAACCUGACCUCUCAGUCCAAAGGCUGAAAUACACCCAUAAGACGAGAAGACCCUGUGGAGCUUUAAAACCACUACUUCCAAAACUAAGCAGCCUUUUUAAGUUGGGGCGACUACGGAAAAAAACAAAACUUCCACGAACAAGGCUAACCCCCCCAUACCACCAGGUCAACAAACCAACAAUUAAAUCUUUGACCCAGAUAAAACUGACCAACGAACCAAGUUACCCCAGGGAUAACAGCGCCAUCCUCUUCUAGAGCCCAUAUCGCCAAGAGGGUUUACGACCUCGAUGUUGGAUCAGGACCCCCAAGUGGUGCAGCCGCUACUAAUGGUUCGUUUGUUCAACGAUUAAAGUCCUACGUGAUCUGAGUUC